CAGCCGCCGCGGGAAUACGUAGGUGGCAAGCGUUGUCCGGAAUUAUUGGGCGUAAAGGACUCGCAGGCGGUUUCUUAAGUCUGAUGUGAAAGCCCCCGGCUCAACCGGGGAGGGUCAUUGGAAACUGGGAAACUUGAGUGCAGAAGAGGAGAGUGGAAUUCCACGUGUAGCGGUGAAAUGCGUAGAGAUGUGGAGGAACACCAGUGGCGAAGGCGACUCUCUGGUCUGUAACUGACGCUGAGGAGCGAAAGCGUGGGGAGCGAACAGGAUUAGAUACCCGCGUAGUCCCUGUCUCUUAUAC
Molecule: ribosomal RNA, 301 nt
Filed under: uncultured bacterium
Lineage: Bacteria
Description: partial 16S ribosomal RNA
Rfam family: Bacterial small subunit ribosomal RNA
Source: RNAcentral